CUCCACGUCCAUACCAGGAUAAAAGCACCUGUUCUCGUCAGAUCACGGAAGUUAAGCAUCGUCGGGCCGGGAUAUAAGUAUCUACAACCCCAGGUCCCAAGGUGC
Molecule: ribosomal RNA, 105 nt
Filed under: Clytia hemisphaerica
Lineage: Eukaryota; Metazoa; Cnidaria; Hydrozoa; Leptothecata; Clytiidae
Source: RNAcentral